AGAGUCAGGCGGAGUCUCUCACGUGUUAUUCAUGUAUACAUGAAGGCUGCUCCAAAGUAUGUGGAAAAUUGUGAGACAGACAAAUUAACUAUUGGCGUCAAAGCAGCUGGGAAUCUUGGCCAAGUGUCUGUUGACUGUGUCUUAUGGGGAUAGUAGGAGUAAAGCGAACAGGCCCCGAGAUUAAGGCUUAGGGAGGCAGAGUGGAUUCGCUCCAGACCCCGAGCAACAAGAUAGAGUCUUAUGGGGGUAGUUAAGGCGUAAAUGCGAAAAGGUCUCGAGCUUAAUGCUUAGGGGGGCUGAGGAGUAUCGCUAACAGAUCCCGAGAACAGUGAUCAGCAGAGCAGAUCUGUUGUUGUGGGUGAACAAGAUGCCAGGACUUUCAGUUCUAGGGGUAUAGAGUUCACGGGCGCGCGAGUUGAGAAGCCGGCAGCCAAGCCCUGGCAGAUGUGUAAAAAAGAUUAACCUGAUGAGGUUGGACAGACCUCAGAGAUACUGCUCUGCGGAGCCCGGGGAGGUCUGAAAAGGCGAGGAACCUGGACAGACCACCCCAUGUUAAGUUCUGUAAUCUGGGGCUGACCUUUUACUGAGCUCGAAAGGCAGAAACCCUGCAGGUUGCAGACUUAUCUAAUAUAAAUAACGUGGAGAAAUCCACUAGGAAUUAUGGAACAGAUUUAGAUGUGGUUGACUGGACUGUACACGAAAGUUCAAUCACACUUGCUGGGAAAUCCCUCUAAAAAUCAGGUCUGUCGCUAAUUAUGGGCACAUUUUAACGUAUAUCCACAAAAAACUUAUAGAUGAAACGAACGCAUUUCUCAUAAUAAGUAACGGGAAAUAAAGAAAAACAAACAAAAAACUGCAAUCUGAGGACAGAGGUUAAUCAUACGGAACAUUGGACAUUGGAGGUAUUGAAAAUUUAUAAGGUAGGAGUUGUUUGAUCCACAAUUUCCUUCCAAAUUGACACCACGAAAAGCACGGAUGGUCAACGUGUUAUCUUUAUGAGUCAGCCAACUAAAUAGAAUACCUUCAAAAAAUCACCAAAAAGACUAAACAAAAGUAUAUUUGACGAAUAAAAUAGAAACACCCAAAAAGUGUGUGUGUGAGGACCGGUCCGUGUGAGCGUGAUCACUCUUUUCCUUUCUCUCCCUCUCCUCGCACUCCACUGUUAAGUGUGUGGCUGAGGGUGUGUGUGUGUUGUGUGUGUGCAUGGUGGAGAAAGCCCAUAACACAUUGAGAUAUAUGUUUGAUUGCAAAUACAUUGACAUGCAUAUAUCCUGCAUUGCACAAGCUGAACAUAAUCGGCUGCAAACUAAUAUGUAAAUAAUGGAAAAUGUUUAACAAGGUGGUUGCAGGAAUCCUAUAAGCAAGCUAAGAUUAACUGCGUUGUCACGGCUCUGUAUAUGGUGCCUAAAGUUGGGAGAAUUGUGACACAAAACAGACUGUUGGUGGGGUUGGACUUUUUGGAUUGUGUGCGUAAGGUUGUUGGUGAAGCAGAAUUUGGUGUUGGUACAGUAGUCUGAGAAAGGUUGAGCAAAGACGCAGUUAGAGUGUGUAAGCUGAGGCAGGGGUAAAAGUUGUGUGGUAGGGUGUGGCACAGACAGAGAGCAGGAGAAGUUGACAGUCCGAGAGUCAGACUGAGACUGAGAGAAGUAGGAAGUAAAAGGGGAAGUGAGGUCAAUUCCGCUCUCACUCAGCCCCGAACGAGCCCCCACCUUUGCGUGAGCCAAAAACAAAGCUCUCUCUCUCCCCCACUACUACUCUCAUUCAGUGAGGAGCCCCCCCACAUUUUUUGGGAUACAAAACAUACAGCCCUCACUCGGUGAGGAGCCCCCACCUUCGUGAGAGCUCCCCCGCCCUUCUCUCCUCUAAAAGUUCUGAGACCUGGCAAGCCACUUUUGUUUUUUUUUUCUUCCUUUCCCUCGGCAAGCUGAAUAUUAAAGCUAUCGUACCUGCAGUACAAAUAUAUAAACAUUUUGUGCAUUUUAAAACACUCAUAGCAUUAUUUUACAAAUAUAUAAACAUUGGGUAAACCUGUGACAGAAUUCGUUUCGGGGGACAAGGGACCAUGGUUCUGCGAACUUCACAUGGGAUAAGGACACUCUGUGGCCACAAAAAGAAAAAGGUAGGAGAUUUCCUAAAAUUUGGUUGAGAGUUCUUUUCCCUGUGAGGUGGUGCGGACUACUGCUCUCUGUCCUCUUCGAAUCAAAGAACCUAGAAUAGAAAUAAGAGGAGACAGUGGGAAUGAAGACAGUCUGAGAAAACUGCAUGCAUGCAGUCAGCUGAUCAAAGUGUGCUAAAUUUGGGAGAGGAAGCCAACUUAAAUUGGAUAUAUAUCAGCUGAAUUAAGAGAAACUGCAGUUGGUUGUGUCAGACCGCCUCACGCUGCUACAUACGUGAGACUAUGUGAAGAUAGUAGACUGGGUGAAGAGCACUUCGUCUCCUUCAAAGUGUGAGACCGCCUCACGCUGCUAUAAGUGUGAGAUUGUCAUAUGUGAAGCUAUAGGCUGGGUGCAGAAAAGCACUGGCCAGUAGCUUGGGGAGACAGCCGGGCCCGGGUUGUGAUGUGUUUUUUUUUAGGCUGAAUGCCUGGAGAUAAAAAGGUCCUGGGUAAUUUUUGGGAUAACAAGGGGAGCGGCAGACACGAGUGUGUCUGUCCAUUGUUGAACUGUGAGUUUAAGACCAUCUUUCAUGAGCUCUGAAAGGUGGCAGCCGAUGGACGAGCAGAUUCAUCUCGUAAUACAUACGUGGAUUUUCUUUCUGGAAAACUCCGCUAGAAAGGAGGAUUUGUCAUGCAGAGUUCCGCUGAGGCUUAAGAAAAAGCCAAAAGGAGAACGAAAGUGGCAUAUUAAAAUAGAAGACUGCUGACUGACUCCAGUGACUGACUUUGACUUCAAACACGUGUGAAAGGGUAUACCAUUGUGUGAUGAAAAAGUGAAGUGUGUGGGUUGAUUGGAUGUUUGUGUGUGUCUGUUUUGUUCUGUGUCAACUAAGUUCUCUGGCAGUGUUCACAGCCAGACUCUGCAUCUGUGUGUGUGUUAUGUUAGUCAAAGAUUGCUGUGUUUUCCUCACUUGUGUUUAUUUCAUAGUUGUUUAUGUGAAUACUGUGCUCAUUGCGGUCAUGUUAUCAGUUGAGACAUAGAAGGUUAAAUACUCCUGGGAAAGAGUUUCUGUUCCCAGUACCAUGAUGAACACUCCUGAUAUGAAGGUUUUAGCUUAUGCUUAGAUAUUAUGAUGGUUUUUUGUUGUGAACACGUCUUAUGCUCCUUAACAAAUUUUCUGUGUUAAAGUUGCUGAAAUAAUGUUUGUAAAAGUAUAAAAGAUACAAAAAGGGGAAAAAGAAAUGAGGUACCACAAGUGCAAAACU
This 3361-nucleotide long non-coding RNA is filed under the name Xyrichtys novacula (pearly razorfish). The record is from RNAcentral. Lineage: Eukaryota; Metazoa; Chordata; Actinopteri; Labriformes; Labridae.